This 253-nucleotide ribosomal RNA is filed under the name uncultured bacterium. RNAcentral describes it as "partial 16S ribosomal RNA". It matches the Rfam family "Bacterial small subunit ribosomal RNA", at positions 524 to 776 of the family's 1533-position model. The record is from RNAcentral.
UACGUAGGGGGCAAGCGUUGUCCGGAUUUAUUGGGCGUAAAGAGCGUGUAGGCGGUCAGGUAGGUCGGUUGUGAAAACUGGAGGCUCAACCUUCAGAGGUCGACCAAAACCCCCUGGCUAGAGUCCGGGAGAGGAGAGUGGAAUUCCUGGUGUAGCGGUGAAAUGCGCAGAUAUCAGGAGGAACACCGGUGGCGAAGGCGGGUCUCUGGGCCGUAACUGACGCUGAGGAGCGAAAGCAUGGGGAGCGAACAGG